This 676-nucleotide long non-coding RNA is filed under the name Elaeis guineensis (African oil palm). RNAcentral describes it as "long non-coding RNA (EGUI_LNC026816)". The record is from RNAcentral. Lineage: Eukaryota; Viridiplantae; Streptophyta; Magnoliopsida; Arecales; Arecaceae.
AUUAACUGGAUCACAAAUAAUUCAAGCCUCUGAAACGAGAUACAAGGGCUCAUAUAUAUCAGUGUUGGAAGAGGCAAAAUUUUCAGCUCAGAUCGAUGAACAUCCAUGCAUGUGGAACUUUCAGAAGGCCAAAUAAUUUUCUUUGCAUUGUUUCUGAAUUUGUGAUGGAAAAGACGCUACAUAUCUAGAAGUCCACACAUUGCGAGUAAGUUGCUGCGGCAUAAAUCUUACUGAAUCUAAUGCAAAUCCUAGGUUGAGAUUGAGAACUCUAACAAUCAUUUCAUCAGCGACAGCCUUGAGCAUUCUUGGACAAAUCUAAGAACCGACCACCCACGUGAGUUGAAACAAGACGUUUGUUGGCAUGUCACCAUUGUCAUCAACCAAUGUUCAUAUCCACCCUCAUUUCCUUCCAUCUCUCUAAGAUAAAACAAUUAAAAAAAGAAAAAAAAAGAAAAAGAACCUGUUCUGUUCAUGAGACAACGUUGCGAAUGCCCCUCGGGCUCUCAGCUGGCCUGGUGGUGACCCUGCUCCCAACCACCAUCACUUCCCUUUCCUUUUCCCCCCACGUGAGCCUCACGUGCAAUAUGCCCUUAAUGAUAGUUUCUAAUCCCUUAAUGAUGGUGCCCCCAAAGUGGCGGUACGACUGCCAAUUAGACUAUAGGAGCCUCACUCGUGG